Molecule: long non-coding RNA, 315 nt
Filed under: Bos taurus (domestic cattle)
Lineage: Eukaryota; Metazoa; Chordata; Mammalia; Artiodactyla; Bovidae
Description: long non-coding RNA NONBTAT020551
Source: RNAcentral
CACAUUGCUAAAAUAUACUGCUGAAACAUCGCCUUCCCGCGUAGCUUUCUCUUCACAUGGUUUUAGAUGGGCUUCCAGGUGUACGUGAUUAAUGCAAAAAAGCCUUAGAGCAGCUUCACAGGGAGACUGAACUCAGAUCCUCCCCUUCACACUUACUAGGUGCCACAAUUAGGGUUGUAUUUCUUCUCCGCAAAAGUUUUUCUUCUUUGUUUGAAUGCAAAUACCUUUGGAGAAUGAAUGCAGAGUUUCCAUCCCUUAGUAAAAGCUUAACAAAGAAGUUGUCAAACAACUGCCCUUCUAUGGCAUGAUGGCUAG